CCGGGCCGGCGCUGGGGCUGCGCAGCUCCCCGGGCUCCCAGCCGGGGUCUGAGGCGGGCGGGUGGCUCAGGGCCGGGGGGAAGCGGCGGGAGGCGCUGCCGGGGCGCGGACCUUCGCCCGGCCUUCCUGGCACGGAGCCGCGGGUGCGCGCAGGAAGGGUUCCGCCGGCCGGGAGGCCAGGCCAUAACCUCGGUUUUUCCCUUGUCUUAACCAAGGAGGUUGAGGAGCAGCAGGAGGGGCGGCGUCUGCCCUGUUUGUAGUAGCACUGAGGUAACACCGGGACGCUUCGGCACAAGCGGAUGAGAGUGGAUGGUGCUCUGCGGCACUGCAGGGCAGCACCAAGUGCUAGCCAGACCAGGGAACCGGUACGCAGGCAGCUUCAAGAGAUAAUGGGAUAUGUCACAACAACGUUAAAAUGAGACUAAGCAUCAACCCUUGAAGUGGCACUGUACUUGGAAGUGCUACUGUGAGGAAGCCAAAGUACUGAAAGCAAUCAGUGCUUGACUGCACGAGACCAUGCCUCUCACAGAAGGCAAAUGAUGCCUUACUUCAAAAGCUUUAUGAAAUGCAAACUCAGUUAUGUCCUUUUGAGUUUCUUUUUUUGCAGGGCAACACUAAACGAUCAAUGGACUUUUCUUAGAACUGUUAUUUGAUUGGGGAGAGGGGAAAAGCUAAGGGGAGAGGGAAAGCUAAUUGGGGAGAGGGAAGGUUAAUUGGGGAGGGAAAGCUAAGGUUCCUACUAAUGUAUGUUCAAGAUGUCUUGCUCUCCCUUGAGACUAAGAUUUGGUCUUUGAUCUACUAUGAAGACUACAGAGGUCAACUUAAAGUGGUGGAUGGGGCAAAAACUUUUUUUGCAGCUAGAAAUAGGUAGCCUCUGAAAACAUGAAGUUGUCAAUAUAAAGGAAUGUAACAGCAAAGUAAGCCAAAAAUUCCUAGCUGUCACUAAGAACCCCCAACUGUUUACAAAGGCAAGCAGUGAACUGGUUUAAAUUAAAUUAAGUAAUACUGCUGCAGGCAUCCAGUGCUUGUUACUAUCUUCAGCUGUCUACUGCUGAAGACAUGCUUCAGGCUGUUAAACUUGUGUGGUUUAAUGAUUUAAAUAACAUAUUGAAUAUUUUGCUUUAUAUUGUAUGUGUCUAAAGAUACAUCAAGAUAAAUAGCUAGCAACUUGUACUGGUUUUAUUCAACAGUGCUUUACAGUUGCCUGUAUGUUCCAGGAGGAUGCCGAGACUAUGAAGUUUCCAGUACUUAGACAAGUAUCAGAACUUUAACUUGACUAAAUUGGGAUUAAGUUUUUCCUCAUUUUAGAAGGGCACUCCUAUCACGCAUAUGCAGAAGAUAGUAGCAAGAAGCACAGUGCUUAAAUCGACAGUGAUUUAUUGUGUUUAGGAACAUUCAAUAAAUACCAAGCUCUUAGCAUCAGUUUGGCAAUCCUUCCCCAUCAAAAAUCUGUUGGUUGGUUUAUUCUUCUGGCAUAAACUCCAUUGCCAGCAAUGGAUGUAUCAGAACAAGAAGUUAAUAGAUACUACACAUGCCCACACAGCAGUUUUCUAAACAUACCUCUUUUAAAGGCAUGAGACAGAUUUACUGAACAAAUCUCAAGGAAGUUCUUCAUAGAAGAAAAUGUGGCUACAAGCAGUCUCUUGAACAUCGUUUUCUUCACUAAUGCUACCUGGUAGUUUAUUUCUGGAGUAUAGUAUUUAUUUUUGAACAGUAUUGAUGACUGUUUACAAACAAGGUUUUUUUUCCCCCCUUUAGCUGCGACAUGUAACUAGUACUGAACUGUAUGAGUUUAAGAGUGGUGUACCACUUGCUGAGCAUUUCAUGGCAAUCAUGAAUAAACUCAGAAUAGAGGAAAGGGGAAGGGGCAAUAUGAUACUCUGUUAGUAGGGCCCUGGGGGAUUUUCUUUCUCUUUUUUUUUCUUUUUAACCACUGUUCAAAUGUUAAAGGUAUAUAAUAUUUUAAUUUGUUUUGACUUUCCAUGAAGAAUUGUGUUAAAAAAACACAACUGAGGAAACAUUCUGCUCAUGAUGGUAAUCACUUUCAAGUACUUAAUUUGAAUAUGCCCCUAAAUUCCAUUCAUGUUUUAUUAAAAAUGUUUUUAUAAAAGCAUGAAAACUACAGAAAACCAAUUAACAUGAUAGAGUUAGUCUUGUAUAUUUUUUCCCACAACUGUAUUUUACAUAUUGCCAAACUUCUGCUUUAGCAAAAGAAACAAAGAAUAAAAAUAAAUUCUCUCCCAACUAUUUACACACAGGAAUUACCCUGCUGUGGGACUUUACUCUACAGUCCCUCUAACCCAAGGUAUAAUCUUAGGUGUAUCUUUUUGUGAUUUUGGUUCUUGGAAGUUUUCAGCAAACCUUUCUCUUGCUUUAUCCCAGUUCUUUUUAUUCUUGCUCUGGAUGAUCUGAACAUCUUCAGUUGAGGCUGGUCUGCUGGUACCCAAACCCGCAUGUGUCUUAUGUAACUGAAGGUGGAUCUGUCAAAUACAUUAAAAAUGUAAAAACCAGAAAGACCUACCGGAUCCUUCAUACCGCCACCAUCCUUGCCCAGGCCUUCCCCCUUCUUCCAUCCCAUCUUCUCCAACAUUUUAUGUCCUUUAUUGCUGUUGCUGAUUUCACUUUGAAGAAAGUUUAAGAUAACUGAUAAGCAAGAGUUAAUACAAAGAGUAUGCUCUCUACUCAAGUACGGAAAGACAGAAAUGUGCAUGCUCUAGAAACCAGGACUCGACUAUGAUGCUGUUCCCACUUCCACAAAGAGCUAUGCAGAAUACCCUAGUGCUACCUUUUUCAAGUUCUUUCAUGAAUAUUAUCUUAUUCCAAGCCUCUGGUCAAUACCAACUUAAAAGUCCUUCUGAACUAGUUGAUUACUUCUGGAAUUAACUUCUAGGUGGGAAUUGACUGCACUAGGUAAAAGACAGUAUCGCUGCCUCACCACCAAAUCAUCCUAACACACAUUUCAUUGCUUCAUACUUCCUUUUACUAACCUACAAGUUCUUGUUUUUAAAAACAACACCACUACAACUACAGAAACAAAGGAAUGAUCAAAGAGGAAGACUAAAACAAGUGUUGUUAUGUCCUAUGAUAGGCUGGAUAUUGACAGCGAAAGAAACUGCAGGUGAAAAAUCUGCAUGUGUACCAUUACUGGUACUAGAUAAGAAAAACAGAAACUGAGGCACUUGAAAAAUAGACAAUAUUGAAGGUGUCAGUAGUGCAGCUGGGGAGUUCCUUGCUGUUUUGAGUUGGUAAGGAAGUGAUCUAACCACCCUUACUGCCAAAUUGAAUUCUGUACGGAAACGUGAGAAAGAGUAUAUGAACUACUAAGUGAGAAUAGUUUAUCAUUUUCUAGAUCUCCUAACACAUUAGGGUAAUUAGGUAAUUAAUACUUAAACUGUAUCCUGGUAACAAAUUAGUACUUCAUCAUCAUUUUUUAAGAUUCACUGAAGACACGGAGGAUUCCUCCCUUCCCCUCACACCAGUCUCCCCAUCCCCCCACCAAACUUACAUAUGAACAGAAGCUGGACUAUCAUCUCUCUGGAAGGUUCCUUCACUUCCAAUGGUCUCUCUGCGUUUUCCUGCUCUAUCUUUGUACUUUGGAUUCUUCACUGCUUUAUUGUCUUCAUACUCUGUGUUCUUUAUAAGCAGGUUAAAUUCCAUCAAGAGAAAUAAAGCGGACUUUACAUUCUUUAUUUUUGAUAACUUCACGCUUCCGCCAAAAGUAAGGCAUUUUCAGUCUAUUUCAUUAAUUCUACAUCUUAUAACAAAAAACCAUACUUCUCAUUUAGUGGGUUCUUACCUUACAGCCAUACUUUGUAAGGUAUGUGUGUGAUGUUAUUGCCAUCAUCACAUAAUAAUUUUGCCAAAUUCAUUAAUUUCACAAAGGCUGUAAAUAAAUUAACAGGUUCUCCUGAAUCUUCACUUCGUAUGAAGAACCAAUCUCUCCAUAUUAAGCAGAAAACUAUACAGACAUACUUUCUGUUUAAACAUUCACCUGUUUCUCGCAAUUAUUUCUUCAGAAUAGGUGACAGAACUAAGCAUGUGUAUAGAGGCCAUAUUGGUAUAAUUUUGCUACCUCAAGAAUUUGAGAGAAAUGAUGGCAUUCUAAUUUCUACACAAAUACUUAAGACAACUGCUAGAUGUAACCCCAUAAAAAUAAUCUCCAAAACAGAAGUAACUUGAAUACUUACAUACUAUACUGCCUGUACAUUCAUGUUGGCAUUCUUCUAUAGCAAAGCAGACUUAACAUAAAAACUUAGAAAAUUUCCCUCUUCCUUCUGUCAUUUUUUCAGUUGCUCAUUAUUUUUUCCUUUCCAAAUAAAGGACAGCACUGCAAUUUAGUGCAAACUUAACUGGCAGAAAUACAAGUUGAAAUGACUUAAAAAAAAAAUCUUAACCUCAAAAGGAUGAAGAAUCUUGCACACAAUGGAAUGAAUCUUCUUUUCCUAAACUUUUAACAGAACUUUCAUCACCUGUUACUAUCAUCUCUCUCUGUAGAGGUUUGUAAAUAGUUAUUAUUCAGUGUACAAAAGACAAACUUGAGUUAAACUACUAGGUUCAUCUUAUAACAGAAAACCAUAUUUCUCAUUUAGUGGUUUCUUACUUCACAGCCAUACUUUGUAAGGUAUGUGUAUGAUGUUAUUGCCAUCAUCACCAGGCCCAAGUCUGAAUGAAUUUUAAAGUUUUCCUCAUUCACUGAAGUCUAUGGCUUAACAUAGGAAUCACAAAGUAGAUGUAGACAUCAAACCCUUAAUCAACUUCUAUUGUAAACUCACCUGUAAACCGUAUUUUUCCCGUAUUUUUUUUAAUGCUUUUCUUCUGACUAACUCUCUCUCUUCUUUGCUGAGUGCUGGGCAAACUAAAAGGAAGAACACAGGAUUUAUUUUCUAAUUAAUAAUGUAACAAUGUUUUGAAACCUAAGACAGCUGUAAGAAUUUUUGUUCUAAGACUCCUACACACAGACACACAUACCAGGAAAAAAAUACAUCAUCAUGUAUUGUAGAACUAUUCCCAAGAAAGAAAAAAACUGUAAAAAAAUUGAAGUAAUUAUUUUGCUUAUAAAAUAAAGAGCCACAAUAAAAAAAAACCCUUAUCCUGCAAUAACAGGACUAACCAGAAGAUUCCUUUUUCCUGUCAAGGCGAAGAUGUGCUCUGACUUGUCCUGGUUCACAUCCAUCACAAGUAUCACUGCCAGGAUGUAUGUGAAAAGAAAGCACAGUUUCACCAAUCUUCACUUCAUCUCCAUGCUCCAAGAUGUAGGGAUCACAUUUUGUUUUAGGCUACAGCAAAAGAAAGUUUUGAAAGCCAUGUUAAUUAGUUACUAAUGAAGGGCACUAAUUCUAUUUCAUAAGCUCUACUCAUAAUUUAGUAAUUCAACUUGGUCUAAAAAAUACAGGUAAGUAUUCAACUGCAGUGGGUAUUUCACACUAGCAACUGCAACUGUUGCAACCUAAUAUAAAGAAAACAUAAAAAUAUUGUAAGUAGCCUUAAAACCAGAAGAGAAACAACGAAAAGACAAAUGUAUGAAAGAAGCCGUACAAUGAUGUUGUUAGUGAUUUGCAACAAUAUAUUUAAGAAGCCCACAUGACUAAAGUUUUCUUCAAUGUAGCAUUAUAAACAAGUACUCACCUGAAGAAUCUGAUUUCCAUUAACAACUGUUCCAUUCUGACUGCCUUGAUCCACAAGAACAUAAUUUUGCAAAUCAUGGUCAAAAUAUACUUCUGCAUGGAACUGAUAAAUAGAAGCCUCAGUGAAAUGUUCUUAUUAAGGAAGUAUUAACAAUGUAUAUGCUAUUUUAAAGUAAGAUUUCAGAAUACAUUUUAAAUGAGUGGCUCUGGUACUUUUAAGUUAACAGAGUAUUUCACACCUUAUGAUUUCAUCCAUGUGAACUGCAGAUGAAUGGGCCACACCACCAUGAGCUAAAGCAUACUAUUAAUAAUAUAACUAUUUUGACCAUAAACUGAAUCAAUACCGAAAAAGUAUAUACCUCCGAUGUGGCAAGUAUACUUUACUUAGAGGACUACAAGAUUCACUUAUAGACCAUUUUUUACUGUUCUUUUAAAUAAAAUGCUUUUGUCUUAUAAGGUAUGUUACAGGAGUCUGACUUUUUUCUCUUUCAAUUAAAAAAACCCUCAUUGUACAGCUUUGGAUUACUUCAUCUUUCAUAACUGAAAUAUCUCCCUAAAUCACAUGCUUUUAUAAAUUCCAUGUAAUUCACCUUCGCCUGCAUCUUAAUGCCCAGGACACAAUGACUAACCAUCAUUUGCUGUUUCUUUUAUAUCCUUUCUGAUAUUGAGACUAACAACCUAAUAUUUUUGUUUGUUUUGUUGUUGCAAUUCUAUCUAGACACUGAACAGAGAAAACACAACUCCAAACUCAAAGAUAUACACUACCUCCAAAAAUGGCCACUGAGUAAACUAAAACAUCAACUUCUGCAGCCUUCUAAGGGUGUCAGUAAAAAGCAGGAGUCUAAAAAACCUGACUGCUUCAAAUUUGACAAGCAAAGAUCCCUUUUGUUACAGUCAAGAAACGCCCCCCCGAAUCAAUCUGUGAAGAAAAUGUUCAUUUAAAACCAAAUAUCUUCUUAUCUUUGAGCAAUAAUUGAGUUGCUACAUUCAGUAAUUAAAAAAAAAAAAAAAAGAAAGAAAAAAAUCAAGGUAGCAUUUUGUAGAUUGGCUAGCACGUACAACAGGAAUACUCCCGUAACAGCGGAGACUGACUAGCUCACUCAAUAAUUAAUUCCUACCUCUGUUUUAUUGAAUAGGAUGAACCCAAACUUCUUCAAAAGAUGCUAUACCUACAGGAUGCAGUGGUUUUUUUUUUAAAUCUCACUUUACACUCAAGAAAAUGCCGAAGUGGUACACAGCUGUUAACUAUGAAUAGCAAGCAGACAGAAAGAAGAGUUACCUUACUGACUCCAACUUCAGGAAUCUCAAGCGUGUGUCCAACAUCUUUUUCCCUGAAAAGGCAAGUUGAUAUAUAAAUCACAACAAAUUAGAAAUACGUCUAAUAAGUGGCUUACAAAAAGUGCAUUUCACUAGAACUUUAAUACUAAGUUUUCCUUCUGAGCUCCUACGGAGUUUUACAGACAUAAACCACUGCGUUGCUAUAUAGACCAUGUGAGGACUUGCUUCAGGUUCCUUCUUCCAUCUGUAAACUAUACACAGUAGACAAUAAAUAGAUGAUAAAGCUGUUACCGUUAAAUUUUAUCUAUAAAUUUGACAUUUCUAUCUGAACUUUUAUACUCAUAUAAUGCCUG
Molecule: long non-coding RNA, 7255 nt
Organism: Strigops habroptila (Kakapo)
Lineage: Eukaryota; Metazoa; Chordata; Aves; Psittaciformes; Psittacidae
Exons: 4
Source: RefSeq, a predicted model, not a curated record